AUUGAACGCUGGCGGCAUGCUUUACACAUGCCAGUCGAACGGCAGCGCGGGCUUCGGCCUGGCGGCGAGUGGCGAACGGGUGAGUAAUGCAUCGGAACGUGCCCAGUAGUGGGGGAUAGCCCGGCGAAAGCCGGAUUAAUACCGCAUACGACCUGAGGGUGAAAGCGGGGGACCGAAAGGCCUCGCGCUAUUUGCGCGGCCGAUGACGGAUUAGCUAGUUGGUGGGGUAAAGGCUUACCAAGGCGACGAUCCGUAGCUGGUCUGAGAGGACGACCAGCCACACUGGAACUGAGACACGGCCCAGACUCCUACGGGAGGCAGCAGUGGGGAAUUUUGGACAAUGGGGGCAACCCUGAUCCAGCCAUGCCGCGUGCGGGAAGAAGGCCUUCGGGUUGUAAACCGCUUUUGUUCGGGAAGAAAACCUCUGGGCUAAUACCCCGGGGGGAUGACGGUACCGGAAGAAUAAGCACCGGCUAACUACGUG
This 484-nucleotide ribosomal RNA is filed under the name uncultured bacterium. RNAcentral's name for it is "partial 16S ribosomal RNA". It matches the Rfam family "Bacterial small subunit ribosomal RNA", at positions 29 to 507 of the family's 1533-position model. The record is from RNAcentral.